UACAGAGGGUGCAAGCGUUGUUCGGAAUCAUUGGGCGUAAAGGGCGUGUAGGCGGUUUGUUAAGUCAUGUGUGAAAUCCCUCGGCUCAACCGGGGAACGACGCAUGAAACUGGCAAGCUAGAGUACCAAAGAGGGCGGUGGAAUUCCCGGUGUAGCGGUGAAAUGCAUAGAUAUCGGGAGGAACCCCUGUGGCGAAGGCGGCCGCCUGGUUGGAUACUGACGCUGAGACGCGAAAGCGUGGGGAGCAAACAGG
This 253-nucleotide ribosomal RNA is filed under the name uncultured bacterium. Its description in RNAcentral is "partial 16S ribosomal RNA". It matches the Rfam family "Bacterial small subunit ribosomal RNA", at positions 524 to 776 of the family's 1533-position model. The record is from RNAcentral.